RNAcentral lists this long non-coding RNA (2301 nucleotides) under Paramuricea clavata. The record is from RNAcentral. Lineage: Eukaryota; Metazoa; Cnidaria; Anthozoa; Malacalcyonacea; Plexauridae.
UAGAAGUUCUGAAGAGUCUUGAAACUACCCCCUUCCUUCGAAGUCUUAAAAGACUAAUCGCCAGACGAGGUCAACCUUCUCUUAUCAACUCGGACAACGCAAAGACGUUCCAAGCGGCUGCGUCAUGGUUAAACAAGGUGAUGAAAGAUGAGAAAUUCCACAGUGAACUGAGCAAGUAUGAGAUCAAGUGGAGAUUCAAUUUGUCACGUGCGCUCUGGUGGGCCGGACAAUUUGAACGAUUAGUUGGAAUUUUCAAAUGUGCUUUUUACAAGGUAAAGGACUUUUGACAUUUGAAGAGCUGUCGGAAGUUGUUCUAGAUGUAGAAAUCUGUAUGAAUAACCUGCCACUAAGCUACUUAGAGGAUGACAUUUAAUUCCCUAUUCUUACACCAAAUUCGUUUGUGCUACAACAGUCUAAUGUUGUGCCAGAGCUAGAAUGUUAUCAUAUUGAGGACGGUGAUCUACGAAAGAGGGCAACGUACUUGCAAAGCGUAAAGAACCAUCUAUGGAGACGAUGGCAAAGAGAGUACCUGACGAGUUUACGGCAGCGUCAUCAGACCAACAGCAAGUCAACUACAGUUGGUCCCAAUGAAGGAGAUAUUGUGUUGAUCAAAGCCGACGAGAAGAACAGAAACAAGUGGAAAAUGGGAAAAGUUACGAAGUUAAUUCGUGGGAAAGAUAACGUUGUCAGGGGAGUUAAGCUUCAAUGCGCUAAAUCGACUAUAGAAAGACCUAUUCAACUUAUUUAUCCGAAUUAUCCCUUGGAACUGGAAUGCAACGUGGGGAAAUGCGCGACGAAGUUGAAUACCAAUGCAAAAGAAUUCAAGCCAAGACGACAAGCAGCGGUCAGAGCAGAAGCAAAGAAUAAGGAACUGUUUGAACUGGAUGAGAAUGACGAAUGACAAUUAAACAUUGAGACAUUGAGGUUUUCUGGUAUAACAUGCGACUCCUUCGGUGGCCAAGUGGUUAGCGCACUUGCCUUUCACCUCUGAGGCUGCAGGUUCGAGUCUCACUAAGUACCUUCUCAGUGCGACUCGAACCCAGUCCCCAUGUGAAAAGAGUAAAAGUCAACGCUCUGCCGAAAGUUGUGGGUUUUCCCCGGGUACUCCGGUUUCCUCCCACAGGGAAAGUUGACAGGGUGGGUUAGGUAAAAAGGGCCCACAGUAAUUGGCAUAUGCUGUUGUGGUGACCCUGCCCUAGUUGGCAAAGCUAAAUAAAUAAAUAAAAAAAUAAAAUAAAUAAAUAAACAUGGGGGAGGAUGUUGGAAAUUGACGUUAUUUUGCUUUAGACAUUAGUAUAUUUUGAAGGAUAACAGUGGACAUUUAGAGUUAGUAGGGGAUUGCUGAACACGUGCGAGAAAAUAGGGGGGGAGUGAACAAUGUUGUGACUGUGACUUGGGAUUUAAAACAGCGAGUUGUGAUUAUAGUUCAUUUCUAUUAAAUCGUAAAAUACAUUUUGUGUUCCGUAUUUAUUUGGAGGCACAAUUUCGGAAUAAUAGGCCAAAAAAGGGCUUCGUCAGAAAGUAAUCGUGAGAACGCCCUGGCAAGAUUUCUAGCGUUACGAGGAAAACGAAUAAAGAAACCGAAACAUCUACGAUUCAGGCAUAUAGAUUUUCAUUAAUUGUGCAUUCUUUAUAUUUUUAGCUAUACUUAAAGAACUAACAUUUGAAGUAAAAGGUAGAUGGUCAUAAUUUGGCAACUUAAUCCUCUCCUCUCAAUAUUUCGCCAUGUAUAAAAUACCUAGUAUAUACAGGGUGUAUCAAAAAAAAGGAGACCUUUAGAAGUCAACCAUAUUGUUAAAAUUUGAAUGCCUUUUCAAUUGAAACGUAGUGCGUGAAAUAUUGAUGGGUGCAUAUAUUAGAAAAAGGAGACCUUGAGAAAUUGAAAUAACGUUUAAACAAAAGAUUAUCUGCUCCUGGGAACAAUCUCCCAUGCAUACUGUACGUAGAUCGCAUGUUACGCACUCGUGGGCUUAGCAAAGUGCUCCAGGAUUCAAAUUAUAACAAUGGUUGAUUUCUAAAGGUCUCCUUUUCCUAAUAUAUGCACUCAUCAAUAUUUCACGCACCACGGUUCAGCAUAUGUGCAAUUGAAAAGGCAUUCAAAUUUUAACAAUAUGCUUGAUUUCUAAAGGUCUCCUUUUUUUAUACACCCUGUAGUUUAUACAGUGUACGCCAAACUUGCUGUGGACGUAAUGUUGCUACAGUGCCGUACUGUAGAAAGCUCUUUUUAUUGGGGGCUGAAAACGAGGGCCAAAGGCCGGAGGAAAUUUUUAAAUUUAGAGUCUCUGAAAUGCCAUUUCCUGG